RNAcentral lists this ribosomal RNA (270 nucleotides) under uncultured prokaryote. Its description in RNAcentral is "partial 16S ribosomal RNA". It matches the Rfam family "Bacterial small subunit ribosomal RNA", at positions 524 to 794 of the family's 1533-position model. The record is from RNAcentral.
UACGUAGGUGGCGAGCGUUGUCCGGAUUUACUGGGCGUAAAGGGUGCGUAGGCGGUCUUUCAAGUCAGGAGUGAAAGGCUACGGCUCAACCGUAGUAAGCUCUUGAAACUGUAAGACUUGAGUGCAGGAGAGGAGAAUGGAAUUCCUAGUGUAGCGGUGAAAUGCGUAGAGAUUAGGAAGAACACCAGUGGCGAAGGCGAUUCUCUGGACUGUAACUGACGCUGAGGCUCGAAAGCGUGGGGAGCAAACAGGAUUAGAUACCCGCGUAGU